RNAcentral lists this long non-coding RNA (3025 nucleotides) under Sarcophilus harrisii (Tasmanian devil). RNAcentral's name for it is "lncRNA (ENSSHAG00000026909.1)". The record is from RNAcentral. Lineage: Eukaryota; Metazoa; Chordata; Mammalia; Dasyuromorphia; Dasyuridae.
GAAAGAGUAACAGCAGAAGAGACUUAAAAAGAGAAUCUUUGACACAUUGUUUUAUUUUUAUCAGCUAUGCUAAUACUGAAUAGUGGAGGACCAAAGAUAUAUAAAUUACAAACCACAACUAAAAAGUCAAUUUAUUCAACAUUAAAAACAGAGUCUCCAGUGAUCCUAAUAAUUGAUGACAUUUCUUAAGGAUGCCAAAGACAGAAAGUUUUAUAUAUACCAAAAUAUUUAUAAUUGUUUCUUUUUCUUUUUUUCCUUUUCCUUUUCUUUUUUUCAAUAGCAAAGAUCUGGACAUAAAGUGGGUGAUUAUCAAAUGGGAAAUUGUGUUUUUAAACCAUGGUAUUUGAAUACAAUUGAAUAUUAUUAUGCCAUAAGAAAUAACAAAUUUGAGGAAUCCAGAGAAACAUGGGAAGACAUGUAUAAACUGAUGCAGUAUGAAAAUAGAACUCUAAGGCAAAGUACACAAUGCCUUUAAUAAUGGAAAUUGAAAGAAUGUUCAAGGAAAAACAAACUUGAGCAAUUAUAAUAUUCAAUCUUGUUAUUUCAGAACAAAUAACGAAACAUACUUCUUUUAGUAGAAAAAUGGAGACCCAUGAAGACAACGUGCUGCAUUCAUCAUCAGAAAGGGCCAUAUUUGGUUUUUUGCUAACUUGUUUUAUCUUUGUUACAGGCAAGGGUUCAAUUCCUGAGGGAGGGAAAUGGAGCAGGGUACACAUAGAAAUGACUAUGGUUGAGUGACUAGGCUACAAGAAUAUUCAUUAAUGGUUCAAUGUCACUUUAACACAAGGUCUCAAUUGGCACAGUGUUCAACAUUUUUUAUCAAUGACCCAUAUAAAAAGGCAGAUAUGGAAUAUUCCCCACAUUUGUAGGUGACAGAAGUUGUAAAGGAGAGCUAAUAGACUAAAUCUCAUUAACUACCAUGGUUUCAAUUAUCAACUCUAUGCUAAUGAUAUUCAGUUCUACUAAUCCAGCUAUAAUCUCCCGCCUAACUCUUCAGGCUCAUACUUCAGCUGUCUCAUAGACAUCUUAAACUCAAUAUAUCCAAAACUGAACCUAUUUUCUUUCUUUUCCUCCUCCUUGCCAAACGGCUUCCUGGCUUCAUUCUGCCAUCCUGACACCCCUAGAAUUUCUUUAUAUCUUCAAAGCUUAACACAAUAUAGGACUAUACAGCCCCAGAGGUCCUUUCUGGUGCUCAAAUUCUGUGAUUUUCUUUUCUGUUAAGGCUCAAGGUUGCUGACACGAACUAACCUAUCUUAUCUUCUCAUAGGGAAAGUUAUUACUGAGAUAUGACAACCUCCUCAAAACAAAUACAGUACUAUGAAGACUACUGCCAUUGUACCCAUAGUGUUAGAGAUCCAUUUUCUUACUUCUGUGUGAGUCAGUUUUGCUUCCAGAUUCCAAGAGCAGAAGUAUAAAUAUCCAACAACCUUCUGAAAAUUGGGACUUCUUGCUAGUCUCCAAGUCCAAACAGGUAAGAAUGUUAUGACAUAAGCACAAUGAUGACAAAUGAUAAAUUAUUAUAAUUUAGAGUCAGACAGAAGCCAUAAUUCAAAUGACAAGGGCUUAUUUAAGACAAAAUAAAUCUUUUAUCUUCAAGAAAUUUGUUUUUGAGUUGGGGCAAUGAGUUUUAAUUCUGACUGUGCCAUGUAUUAACUGGGUUACUUUUGGGAAAGUAAUUUCAGCUCUCAUUGGCUUCAAUUUCUUUUGCAAUCAAGUAAGGAAAUUGGGUUAGACUGCUUCUAAGAUUCUAAGUUUCCUUCCAACUACAAAUGUACAACUCUACAAAACUAUUUCUUUAAACCACAUGGUGGCAUUUAGAUUCACUUUGGUCCAAUGAUUACUUGGGUCAAUAUGGCCACAUGAAACAGCUGUAGCUUGUACUAGAAAAUACUGUCAAAUAACAGCCUGGACCUUCAGGAAAGGAAGAGAAAAAGGAUAAAAAGAAAAUGAGAAUCUUCAACACAGUCCAAAGGCUGUCCAAUAUAAACAAUGGACUCACCAUGCUGUACAUAAGACUACAGGUUUAAGCCUUGACACAGCAACUGGCCUUCACAAUGCUACCACACGCAUUUUCAGGACACCCAAUUGGCUGUCUAGUAUCUUGACACAUUCAAGUACCAUGAAACCUCCAUCACCAGAAAGUAGAGGGAAAAAACCAACACAAAAAGAUCAUCAAUGAAUCCCUGCAGGACCCAAGGAAAAGCCAUCCAAGAAUAAAGGGUAGAGGCCCAAAUGAGGUCACCUCCUUCUGUGAGCUGCAAACCCAGCCAUCUAGUAGAUUCAGCUAAUGGCUCAUUACUUUCCAGAUGGUAAGGGUGUCUUUUAUAGUUACCUUUUGUUUCCUCCCCUUUGCCCAAACUGUCAGCUAAUGAAACAAUUUCCCACUUACUCCAUUACUCUUUACCAUGGCUACAAUAGAGCGCAGUCAAGUGCUUUUUAAAAAUCCACUUCAUCCCUUUUGCACACCAGAAUGAUUUUGGUUUUUGAAUUCCAAUAAAUUAACGAGUACUAUAACCUUCAAUUCAAUUAAAGAUAUAGCAGGAGCUUCUCACCAUACCUUUCCUGCUUUGCUGUCUGAUAGUAGCUCCUACCUUUUACCCUUUAGCUUAAAGCAACACCCCCUACACACACCCUUAGCCCUAUGUCUCCUUUAUUAAAGUUAGCCCUCUGAGCCGACUUCCUACUGUUGUAGUGAUAGCUGAAAACCACCAGGUGUCACAAAGGGAUGAAACAUCAAAAAGUCCUUUAAACUAAGAUUUAAGAUUUUAAGGGGCAGCUCUAAAUUCAGGCCUAAGCUGAAUCAAAGGACCAUAGUUUUAGAGCUAGAAGGAAUCUUAAGUGAUUAUCUUAUCCAAUUCCCUUAUUUUAGGGAUGAGGAUGCUGAAGCUCAGAGCAUCAAAGUGACUUGCUAAGUGUGAUGCAGACAGGAAGCCGAAAUAGUAAUCCAGGUAUUCUAACUUUCAGGCAAGUAUUCUUGCCACCAUACCAUGGUUUUGUUUAAAAAAAAAAAAUACACACACACACA